AGUGAACGCUGGCGGUAGGCCUAACACAUGCAAGUCGAACGGCAGCACAGUAAGAGCUUGCUCUUACGGGUGGCGAGUGGCGGACGGGUGAGGAAUACAUCGGAAUCUACUUUUUCGUGGGGGAUAACGUAGGGAAACUUACGCUAAUACCGCAUACGACCUACGGGUGAAAGCAGGGGAUCUUUGGACCUUGCGCGAUUGAAUGAGCCGAUGUCGGAUUAGCUAGUUGGCGGGGUAAAGGCCCACCAAGGCGACGAUCCGUAGCUGGUCUGAGAGGAUGAUCAGCCACACUGGAACUGAGACACGGUCCAGACUCCUACGGGAGGCAGCAGUGGGGAAUAUUGGACAAAGGGCGCAAGCCUGAUCCAGCCAUACCGCGUGGGUGAAGAAGGCCUUCGGGUUGUAAAGCCCUUUUGUUGGGAAAGAAAAGCAGCAGGUUAAUACCCCGCUGUUCUGACGGUACCCAAAGAAUAAGCACCGGCUAACUUCGUG
This 492-nucleotide ribosomal RNA is filed under the name uncultured bacterium. RNAcentral's name for it is "partial 16S ribosomal RNA". It matches the Rfam family "Bacterial small subunit ribosomal RNA", at positions 29 to 507 of the family's 1533-position model. The record is from RNAcentral.